UACGUAGGGAGCAAGCGUUAUCCGGAUUUAUUGGGUGUAAAGGGUGCGUAGACGGGCUAACAAGUUAGUUGUGAAAUCCCUCGGCUUAGCUGAGGAACUGCAACUAAAACUAUUAGUCUCUGAGUGCGGGAGAGGAAAGUGGAAUUCCUAGUGUAGCGGUGAAAUGCGUAGAUAUUAGGAGGAACACCAGUGGCGAAGGCGACUUUCUGGACCGUAACUGACGUUGAGGCACGAAAGUGUGGGGAGCAAACAGG
Molecule: ribosomal RNA, 254 nt
Filed under: uncultured bacterium
Lineage: Bacteria
Description: partial 16S ribosomal RNA
Rfam family: Bacterial small subunit ribosomal RNA
Source: RNAcentral